Long non-coding RNA from Mytilus trossulus (common blue mussel), 2785 nucleotides. RefSeq lists it as uncharacterized. The record is from RefSeq and is a predicted model, not a curated record. NCBI's taxonomy places the organism in Eukaryota, Metazoa, Mollusca, Bivalvia, Mytilida, Mytilidae. The transcript has 2 exons.
AUAACUCUUUGCCACAUUUGAUUAUGUUUCUUAUAGGGCCUUAUUCUGAAUAUUUAUGACAUUAUAUUAUUUCACAUUUAUUGUUUGUACAAUAAUGUUACAGAUGAUUGUAUUCUUCGUUUUAGGGGAUUUUUUCGGUGAUUCAGAUUUUGUAAUGUAAUUUUGUUAUCUUACACAGUAACUUGUUUCCUGGCAGCCUUUCUGCUUUUAUAUUUGAUGAACUAAAUCAUCUGCUGUAAUCUGUGUUUUUUAUAGUGCCAAAUUCUUAGAUUUAUGAUCUUCAGAUGUUAUUGUAAUUUUGACAAUGAAAAUGUCUGUUUGAAAAUAAUGCAGUCACUAAAUGUUCAGGUUUAAUAACUAAAAAGAUGUGUUAAGUAUACACAACAAUGUGCCCUGAAUAUAUCAAUUGUAGGUAUUAUUUUUGCAUUGUAGCAAAAAUAGUAAAUCACAAAAACAGCUGUGGUUUUCCUAGGGUAUAAGGAAAAGACUAAAUAUAAGAAAAUAAUCCUUAACAAAAAAGAGAAACUAGUACAUAGCAAUAAAAUUAUAUAAUAAAGAGUUGUCCAUCUAAAAAAAAAAACCACCAAGGAUAAAACCAGACAAUUCAUGUAGAGUUCUCUAACCUAAGUUUGUCUUAACCAAAUGUUAUGAAACUCAGAUCAAGUACAAGUUUGGGUAGAGUAAAUUUUACCAUUCUUGAGGUAAUGUCCCUUUACAACUUUUAUGCAAGAGGGGGCAUCAUCUUGGUCCCAUGGACACGUUCACUGUUUUUUUUAUAAAUAAAUCUAGAGACAAUAAUGUAAGUGUAAUACUUCAUUUGACUUCCAUGUUAUGAUUAAGGAAUACAGGAAGCAAGUAACUUAAUUAAAGAUCCCACUUGUCAUAUCUGUGAAAUUCUAUUCUAUUAUGUAACCAUACAGAUAUAUCCUGCUGUGAAAGCACGCAAAAUCUUUAAGUUUUUCUCCUGUUGAUUAACUUCAUUUGAAAAGGUAAAACUAUUUAAAUUUUCUCUAAAUUAUGAACUGCAUGGAAGCAUAUGAUAAUACAAAUCAAAUACCCAUAUAGAUUUUUAUUGCACAAUGUUAAAUGCAUCUUUGUCAUAUCAAAGAUUGCCUCACAGGUAGAAUAAAACUUACCCCGAAAAUAAUAACUUCGAGUUUAAACCAGGCUACAUGUACUUUGAGUCUAUUGACUUUGGGUCAAAAGGUGACUUUUCUCAUCAGAAAUGUCAUGGCCAAUAAAUUAGAGGAGAAUUUGAGUGAUGUAACUGUUAAGUUACUGCCUUGAAUUAUAAGUCUCCUUGAACUCUACAAAAAAAAUUACAUAGAAAUAGGGACAGUUGUGAUUUAUUGUUGCCCUCUAUACACUAUACUUAUUAUAAACACCUUGGUCUUAAAAUCUUUUACAUCAUUGUAUCUCUAAGUUAUGUACAAGUUAUGAUUUAGACGUAUUUUUUCCCAGACUUGAGUUUAAUGACGUCUGCAUUUAUUGCAGGUUAAAAUCGAAAAAAAGAAAAAUUUAACUUUUCCUUGAUUUUAUUGGUUUUAUUGUGUUGUUAGGUUUUUGCUUCGUUGAUAUUUACCCAACAUCUCCUUUUAUUUAUCAAACUUUAUUUAAACAAACUUAAUUUCUAUUCUUUUUAUAAAUCUAGUCGAUGAUUAUAUAAAAGCAAAGUAUAGAACUACUCGUAGCUUUUUUACAAAUAUUUGUGAUUACAGUCUUUAGCAGGAGAUAAUAUUUUGCAUAUUAAUUGAAAACAAGCUGUUUUUGUUAGAUUUCAAGUGAACAAAUUUGUAACUUUUUGGGGGUUAUUUAUAAAUUUCAAGAUUGUGAGGUUAGGUACUGUGAAAUCAUAUUGACUAUAGUCUAAUUUUUCCAAUUCUGCAUUGAGUUGCUUACCUUUAAAACAGACAUUCAUUUUCAAUGUUAAUUAAGAAUUAGAACAUAAACGAAAUUUUUCUAUGUGAAAUCUUAAAAGUUCAUAUAUUUUAUAUUUUUUAAGCUACAAACUUUUGAUAUCAACAAUUUUUUUUUGUUUUUAUUGAAAAACUCUUUCCACAAAUAGCUUUGUCCGGUGCAGAACCUGUCUUUAUUUGGUAAAGGGAAACAACCAGUGUUAAAAGUGUGUAAUAAUAUUAUUGAAUCUGGUUCACGAAUUGACAAUUGAUAAUGUCAGUCAAUCUUUAAUGAGGUUAUUAUGGUUUUACAGAGCCUCUCUUAUGUUGGAUGUAAAUCAUAUUAUUUUUUUAUCAUUGAUAAUUGUCAUGAACAGUCUAAGAUUCUGAAAGUAUACUUUGUGAACUGGUCUUUCUUUGUAUGGCUAGCUGGACUCUGUUUAAAGAGAGCAUAAGGGGGAAAACAUUUUUUUCAAAGUAAAUAUCGGCCAGAUGUUUCAAAAGCGUCAUCAAAAAAAGAUUAUUUUAAAUGACUAACACAAUUAAAACAGUCUUAGUUUACAGGACUGUUUGUGGGUUAAAGAUGCAGUUUCAUAUAAAAGGACCAGUCAUAAACAAAGAACUCUGUAAACUUUCAUUCAUGUUUCAUAAACAAUAUGUGCAAUUAAGCAGUACCUAUAGACUGCUGUGUUGUUGAGUCUCUCUGCCUUCAGUGCUUUACAUUGUAUGUCAUUGAGCUGGCAUAGUAGGUGAAGAGACUUACAAUAUAUAGGUAGUAAUAGAAUUAUGAGUGGUGAGAACAUGGUGUAUAUGUAUUGUCAGUAUUGUUGUAGAUACUGGACGUCUUUGGUCAUGUGAUCAGAACUCAGAAUAAAUAUAUAUAUCUUUAA